Non-coding RNA from Marmota flaviventris (yellow-bellied marmot), 1470 nucleotides. NCBI's taxonomy places the organism in Eukaryota, Metazoa, Chordata, Mammalia, Rodentia, Sciuridae. The record is from RefSeq and is a predicted model, not a curated record.
GGCCUCACAAGGGUGUCGUACUUGAGAAUAUAUUUCAUGUGAGCCACAUGACACACCCAUCUUGAAGAAACGAGGGCUGCAGAGUAUGUGUUGGACCUGUGCCCACGCCGCCCUCAGCCCGCUCCGGCUGGCCAUCUGAGCUCUGGCGUACAGUCUCAGCCACUCAAGUGGUAAGAAGAUGCUCCCUGGCAAGCCAAGAACCACACAGACACAGAGGCCCUCAGCAAGAUCCUACAUCUACCACCCUUCAGCACCCCCUUGGGAAAUCUGAUGGGACUCUCAAAACAACCUGAUGCUCAGCUUCCACCUUCAUCCCCAAGCAACUCCGUCAUGCCCCCUCUGUAAUGGAAAGAAUGUCUCCUAGAAGGACAUGUCCUCAGCCACAGCACCUGUGACUGUGACCUGGUUUGGAAGUAGAGUCUUUGCCUAUGUAUCAAGGUCAGGUUACGGGGUGGGCUCUAACCCAAUGACUGGCAUCUUCUGGAACACAGAUAUACAAUGGGAAGAUGGCCACGUUGAGGGUGGAGACAGAGACUGGAGUGAUAUGUGUGGCAUCAGGUUGGAGGAUUGCCAAGGGUGACCCAGGAGCACCAAGGACUGGCAGCCACAGGAGCUGGAAGAGGCAGGAAGGAUCCUCCUAAACAGGUUUCAGAGGGAGGCAGCUCUGCCAACCCUGACGUCAGACUUCUGGCCUCCAGAACUCUGAGGCAAGGAGCAUCUACUACUUUAAGAUGCUCAGUCUAAGGUCUAUCAUAGCAGCCACAGACCAUGAGUGCAUCCUGUCAGUCACAGGCACCCUCGUGCUUCCCAAGAGAGGGGCAGGCCCUACACGCGGGUCAGAUCCACCUGGAAAUCCUGGGGCUCCCCUUUCACAGUGUGUCCAGAACCAGUUCUGUGACCAGCUCCCCACCUGUCUCUCUCCAGGACCCCGUUACUCUUUACUCUGCUUCAUCCUGGCACCUCUGUUCUAUGCAACAGCCCAGCAAAUUCUGUCACUUCUGUGCUGAGACACUACCUGACUCACCGUCUCCCUCAGAAUCAAAGCCAAAGCCCUCAACUUAACAAUAAAAAACAAAGUGACUAAAAACUGAACCAAGGACUUGAACAGACACUUCUCCAAAGAAGAUAUAUAGAUGGCCGAUGAGCACCUGUAAGACCCUAAGCAGCAUCAGCCACCAAGGACUGAGACGCCAGGGUACCUCACCAGGUAGCGAGCAUCAGCCAGGACCUGGGGAUGCUGCAGGCUUCACACUGUGGGGGACUGUGUGGUGCUGCUGCUGUGUAGAGGAGCAGAUGCUCCCUGGAGCACUAAGCAGCAGCUUCGCAUCCAACACAACUCUUUUGCCCCAGGUACUCACCCAGGAGAAAGGAAGACAGGUCUCAUCUGAAAUGUAUAUGUAAAGGUCCAUGGCUGUGUCACUCAAAGUAGCCAAAAUGUAAAAAUAAAAUAAAGUGUGGUGUGCAUAUAAA